RNAcentral lists this ribosomal RNA (468 nucleotides) under uncultured bacterium. RNAcentral describes it as "partial 16S ribosomal RNA". It matches the Rfam family "Bacterial small subunit ribosomal RNA", at positions 28 to 507 of the family's 1533-position model. The record is from RNAcentral.
GACGAACGCUGGCGGCGUGCUUAACACAUGCAAGUCGAACGGAAAGGCCCUGGUUUUGUGGGGUGCUCGAGUGGCGAACGGGUGAGUAACACUUGAGUAACCUGCCCUUGACUUUGGGAUAACUUCAGGCAACUGGGGCUCAUACCGGGUAGGAGCUCCUGCUGCAUGGUGGGGGUUGGAUAGUUUAGGCGGUUGGGGAUGGACUCGCGGCUUAUCAGCUUGUUGGUGUGGUAGUGGAUUAGCAAGGCUUUGACGGGUAGCCGGCCUGAGAGGGUGACAGGACACACUGGGACUGAGAUACGGCCCAGACUCCUACGGGAGGCAGCAGUGGGGAAUAGUGUACUAGGGGCGGAAGGCUGACGCAGCAACGCCGCGUGGGGGAUGACGGCAUUCGGUUUGUAAUGCGAAGCCGCCUGUGACGAAGCGUGAGUGACGGUAAUGGGUAAAGAAGCACCGGCUAACUACGUG